GUACUCUCACACUUCCGAUCCUUCGAUUGGGAGCAGUGGACUUGGGUGCUGCUGCUUCACUGCGGCUCACCUCAAAUGGAUUAGUGCAACUCUUGGUUGGACAUAGUAUGGCAUGAUAAGUGUCUUCGCUGGUGCCUCAUAAUAAUAGAGGGUGGCCAAUCAGGAGCUCUGUGCUUUCAAACCGUCUUCAGACAAUGACUGACA
RNAcentral lists this unclassified non-coding RNA (204 nucleotides) under uncultured Sebacina. RNAcentral describes it as "sequence contains ITS2". The record is from RNAcentral. Lineage: Eukaryota; Fungi; Basidiomycota; Agaricomycetes; Sebacinales; Sebacinaceae.